AGAGACAGCAGUAGCCGCGGUAAUACGGAGGGGGCUAGCGUUGUUCGGAAUUACUGGGCGUAAAGCGUACGCAGGCGGUUUGUUAAGUCAGAUGUGAAAUCCCCGAGCUUAACUCGGGAACUGCAUUUGAAACUGGCAGGCUAGAGUCUCGUAGAGGGGGGUAGAAUUCCAGGUGUAGCGGUGAAAUGCGUAGAGAUCUGGAGGAAUAUCGGUGGCGAAGGCGGCCCCCUGGACAAAGACUGACGCUCAGGUGCGAAAGCGUGUGGAGCAAACAGGAUUAGAUACCCCUGUAGUCCCUGUCUCUUAUAC
RNAcentral lists this ribosomal RNA (309 nucleotides) under uncultured bacterium. RNAcentral's name for it is "partial 16S ribosomal RNA". It matches the Rfam family "Bacterial small subunit ribosomal RNA", at positions 504 to 807 of the family's 1533-position model. The record is from RNAcentral.